Molecule: long non-coding RNA, 1976 nt
Organism: Passer domesticus (house sparrow)
Lineage: Eukaryota; Metazoa; Chordata; Aves; Passeriformes; Passeridae
Exons: 2
Source: RefSeq, a predicted model, not a curated record
UAUGUGACUGGUUAGAAGAGGGGGCAUGACUUGGCAUGGAACUGUAACCAAAAUGUUUUUACUUAAUGUUUCACUUGGCACAGGAGGAUCGGGUAACAAAAUAUUCACCCCAAAUCCCAUUUCAGUUGCUAAAAAGGCAUUUCAGUUCCCUGUGCUGCAGUAAAAAUACUUUUUCAUUUUAAGUAAAAUGGAUUUAAGAAGCUACAAGAGGCAAAAGAUGCUCAAUGGUGUCCAUCAAAGAGUUCAUUUCCCUUCUUCUGAUGCAAUAAAACUGAAAUUAUAAAACACCACUCACAUUUGCUAAUCUAGUACACAUUAGGAAAAAGGUGGAUGUGCAACAAAUGAAAACAUUCACUUCCUAUUUGCUUCAUCAAGUUCUGUUUUCUCCUUUUUAAAAGCUGGUGUUGCAUUGCCUGAACAGCAUUUCCUUCAGAACAAAUUACCUAAAGUCUUCAAAAUUGGCUUCAGUAUCUCCACCAACAGCCACAGUAAAGCUCCAUGAGAAACAAGUAAAAUUCAUUGAAUUCUUUGAGAUACUGAAUAUCUUUUAAACUCUUUUAUUCAUUAUAUGAAAAUACCUCACAGUGUUCAAACAUUUGUCAGCAUCACUUACCUGGUAACAGAACAUCUUAUUUUAUUCACAGUUGGUGGGUGUUGGGCAUUCUGCAUUGCUGGCACUCUUUGUUGGUGGGGCUGGGCUCUCUCAAACAAAAUUUCUUUUUGGUAGUUGGGUUAUGUUAAACGUACUCCCAACCUAGCAAGUGUCCUUUAAGGAAUUGAUUCUUUUUAAUAGUGUGCUCUAAUCUGAAGUACCACACCCACCACCUUCUAAUUCAAUUUUAUACUGGAACUGAAAAACUUUGUCAUUUUAUGUAUACUGAUUGAACUAGGGCCAAGGGGAAUAAAACCAUUAAGGCUUCACGUGAACUCAGAGAAGAAAGACUUCUUUGGUAAUAUAAUUACAGAGCACAGAGCUCGUAAGAGGAAAUGAACUACAGGGAUUUAUUUGAUUAGACUUUUUUUUCUUUUUCCUUCUUAAUGACAGCAAGGUCUCUCCUUCCCCCACCCCUUCCAGUCUAACAGUAGAUGUUAAGCAAAUUCUUGGCAGGCAGGAACUGGGACUGUUACAGAGGGAUGUUUCAAUGGGACACUGCUAUGGAAGGAGUUUUGAGUAUCUCACCAUUGCUGAGGAGCCUGAACACUCCAGCUACAUGAAGAGUUUGUUUGUACAAGGAGCUGAGGUUGUGUCCACCACAUCACCUUUCCAGCAUCAGGGCAAAGCUGGAGCAGGGUUCUGUGAGCCACUUCAGGGCUGUGCAAGCCUCAAGGGCAGUGACCAGUUGACUUUGUUGUCUUGGUAACGCUGUGGUUGACCUGGGUUGACCAGAUCAGUGUGACUUAAUCAUCCUAAGAAGGAAACAACUGCAACAAGUGGAGAGCUAAUUACUGUAGGUUCCCUCCCUGAAUGGACUUCCUCAAGCUCGUGCCUCACGUUCACAACCUUUGGCCUGCCUUAGCCUUCAAACAAUUCUGAUUGAGCACCUCCCUGGGACAACCAAGGCACCUGCAGCACUUAGUGCACUCUGUACACGGAUCUGUAUCAAUUCACACCCACACUGCAGUCUCAGGGAGCAGCAAUAAUGCAGCUGUGGAGAUCAUCUGGGAGACUAAAACAAUUGGUGUCCUGAUAGAAUCAUAACAGAGCUGGAGGAAAGGCAAUUUCAGCACAAAUCUCGACAGCAGAACGUGCUUCUGUUUAAGUCUGACCUGCUCUCCUUGCAGAAGCAGCAUGACAGAGUGUUUUGCAAAAGAUUUGUAUUUAUAUGCUUGGCUGUCAGCUCUAGAUGUUGCUCCUUGUCUGUAUAAUAACUACAUGGAAUGCUCAGUGGAGAUGUUCUCUAAAUUGAAAUAAACAGAAUCAAUGCAGACUUAACUGCACUGUCACACCACAUGAAUAAAACAUGCUGAUGGAUUUC